RNA transcript from Syngnathus acus (greater pipefish), 1488 nucleotides. It is a transcript of the gene named transmembrane and ubiquitin-like domain containing 2, with no coding region annotated. The record is from RefSeq and is a predicted model, not a curated record. Lineage: Eukaryota; Metazoa; Chordata; Actinopteri; Syngnathiformes; Syngnathidae. The transcript has 4 exons.
GACGUCCCUCCUCUCUUCCGCCUGAGUGUGUGUGUGCGCGUGUGCACCCUGUUUUGAGGAAGUAGCCGCUUGCUAGCUACUAGCAUCGAUCAAGUUCGUCGUCAAACAUGCUCUGAUUGCACGCCUGGCUGGAGAAGAUGGCAGUGUGUGCACUGACCAUGCUGGACGGGAUGGGUGGCGAGGCCACAGCGGUGGGGGGGGCCCUGCUUGUGGCCCUGGCGCUGGUCCUGGCCUGGCUCUCCACACACGUGGCGGAGCGCAGCGACCACAUCCUGGGCACCAUCCUGUCGGCAGGCGCUCACGCCUCCCUCAUCGGUGUGGGCGGGGAUGCGGGCGGCGACGUCCAGGUGGAUGCCCCGGAGCAGACGGGCGGCGAGACGGAUGAGGUGGCCUCGCCGGAAGACGCUGACCUGCUGCUGGACAUUCAGAGCAAAGCACCCCCCGGGGGCAGGAUUCACGCUUCGGACGAGGAGGAAGACGAGGAUUACGGUGAAGAAGAAGAGAGAGUGCGGGCUUAUAAAAAGGACAUGUCUACCACUCCGUCCUUUUGCGUGCGACUCAAGUUUUUAAACGACACAGAGGAAGUGGCCGUGGUCAAACCUCACCACACUGUGGACCAACUCAAGAGUAAGUACUUCUCUGGGCGUGAGCAUCAGAUCAAGCUGAUCUACCAAGGGCAACUCCUGCAGGACUCCAAGAGGACUCUGCUGUCCCUGAACGUGACUCACAACAGCGUCAUCCACUGCCACGUCUCGCAGGCCCCGCACGACGGCAGCCCUGAGGCGGGGGCCGCCGGCUCUCCCCAGGGGGCGCCCGCCGUCUCCGGGGGCCUGCGGGCGGCGGGCGUGGCCGUCAGCACGGGCAGCCUGGUGGUACCCGUGUUUGUGGUGAUCCUGGCCGUGGUGUGGUAUUUCCGCAUCAACUACCGCCAGUUCUUCACUGCGCCCGCCACCAUCUCCCUGGUGGGUGUCACCAUCUUCUUCAGCUUCCUCAUCUUCGGCAUGCACGGCCGCUGAAGAAACCCGUUGGCAUGUAACACUAGCACGGCCCUGAAACUCCCAUAUUUGGACCAUUCAUAUGCUGAAAACCAAAGAAAAAAAACAAAACAAGCAGAAGUCCACCCACCUGCAUUUUUUCCCCUCACCGGAUGCUUUUGGCCAAUCCUGCUAACACACUAACCCAUUUCCACAGGGGAGGGGGAGAAAAAAAAAAGACCUGUGAUCAAGCUUUCAUUUCUGCUUUGUUAGCUCUCGUUUCUCCAUCCAUGAUUCAAGCCCAACAUUUUUUCUGUGGUGUGAAGAAAUUAAUUUAAAGGCUGAGAUGCUGUAUUGUUAAAGUAGAACAGGCCUAGUGUCUUUUGAUGUGUACAAUGUUGUGUAUUUAGUGUAAAUAAAAUGAAUGAAUGAAUGAAACAAAUGAAUCUGGCACUUAUGAGAAAAAAAACAUCUGGAGUCUAAUGUCUCCAAUUAAAAGCAUUACAAAAAAAAA